Molecule: long non-coding RNA, 1471 nt
Organism: Lemur catta (Ring-tailed lemur)
Lineage: Eukaryota; Metazoa; Chordata; Mammalia; Primates; Lemuridae
Exons: 5
Source: RefSeq, a predicted model, not a curated record
UUGGUUUCAACCAGCAGCUACUUGAUCCCAGCUCCUGCUAAGAAUUUCCCGGUACACAGGAGAGAAUGACACAGCCCUGCUGCCCUCUGGAGCCAGUGGCUGGAGGCACACAGGGGUUGGGGACAGCAGGAAGGCCACCUGGACGCGAGAGCGACUCCAUCUUCCCCCACAGCCUGGCCCUGAAGUACUUGGUAAUGAGGUUUCCUCCUUAGUCAGCUGCUCUCUGAAGCGACACCGGGAGCUGGGACUCCGGAUGCCGGCAGAGCCCUGGCCGCGUGCUGCGGGGCCGGCGUCUGCUGAGCCAGGCAGGCUGCACAGAGAAUACGCCAGAAGCCCAUGAGACACAGGACUGGAACCAGCAGCCUGAACUAGAACCAACAGCCAAAAAAGCUGAGCUCUGGAAACCUCAAGGACCCUUCCAGUAGCUCCCCAGGAAAGCCACCUGGUUCAGCCAUUCAUCUGCCGUGUCUGUGGAAGGGAGCAAAUGCCACCACGCCAGGGCGGUGAAAACACCCACGGCCGCAUCUCCUGCUUGCACACUCCAGCCCCUGUGCGAACGGCAAAGAAGUUCAUGACCGAUUAGAAAUAAAAAAUAUGGUCUUUCACCACUGAUAAUUGGAGAGGUCCCUAGGAGAUGAUGGAACUGAACACGGAGGAACGUCCUUGAUGCAGGACCUGCCCUCUGUCUGGGGAACAUAGCAUGAAGGGACGACAAGCUCUGACUCAGGGCCGGCAACCCCUUCCCCUGCCAGCCGUGGCUCUUCACCACGGAGGCUCCAGCGACGCCCAACUCCCUACAGGAGCCUGGAGACAGGUCAUUCCAAGGCAGCAGGAAGUGAGGCUGCCACGCAGCUGGCUGGGAGACAGGGAGACCGUCCCAGGUCAUCCACACAAGCCCAAGGCAAUCACAGGGCUCCUUAAACGCUGAGGAGGAGGCAGGAGAGUCAGAGAUGACAGACAAGGAGCACCGGGUGAUGCGACAAGAGCCUCGACCAGCCAUCGUGGCUCUGAAGAUGGAAGAAGACACAAGCUAAGGACUGUGGUGGCCCCUGGAAGGUGGAGAAGGCAAUGAAGUGAUGUCCCACGAGAGCCUCCAGAAGGAAUGCGACCCAGCCCACACCCUGAUUUUAGCCCAGCGAGACCUGUGUCAGACUUUUGACCCAUACAUUGUAAGAUAACAAAUUUAUGUUGCUUUAAGCCACUAAGUCUGGGCUCAUUUGUUAACAACAACAGGAAACGAGUACACCUGGCCACGUCAUCAGGCACAUGGUAGGCGCUCACUAAAUCCACCGAGUUGUGUGCUUGAGAGAGCUCUUUGACCUUGGAAGGCAUGAGGCUCAUGCACUGUGCUCAGAUGCUGCACUUUGUGUACCCAGCGCAAAAGUCAGGAUGACAGUCCGGGCCCCUGACAGCAAAUACGUUUCCAAUUAUCUAGUAACUUCUAAAAAUCUUAAUAAAAGGGAGGGGGAUU